Molecule: ribosomal RNA, 513 nt
Filed under: uncultured bacterium
Lineage: Bacteria
Description: bacterial SSU rRNA
Rfam family: Bacterial small subunit ribosomal RNA
Source: RNAcentral
UUGCUCCUCUGACGUUAGCGGCGGACGGGUGAGUAACACGUGGAUAACCUACCUAUAAGACUGGGAUAACUUCGGGAAACCGGAGCUAAUACCGGAUAAUAUGUUGAAUCGCAUGGUUCAACAGUGAAAGACGGUCUUGCUGUCACUUAUAGAUGGAUCCGCGCCGCAUUAGCUAGUUGGUAAGGUAACGGCUUACCAAGGCAACGAUGCGUAGCCGACCUGAGAGGGUGAUCGGCCACACUGGAACUGAGACACGGUCCAGACUCCUACGGGAGGCAGCAGUAGGGAAUCUUCCGCAAUGGGCGAAAGCCUGACGGAGCAACGCCGCGUGAGUGAAGAAGGUCUUCGGAUCGUAAAACUCUGUUAUUAGGGAAGAACAAAUGUGUAAGUAACUAUGCACGUCUUGACGGUACCUAAUCAGAAAGCCACGGCUAACUACGUGCCAGCAGCCGCGGUAAUACGUAGGUGGCAAGCGUUAUCCGGAAUUAUUGGGCGUAGAGCGCGCGUAGGCGG